This 434-nucleotide ribosomal RNA is filed under the name uncultured bacterium. RNAcentral describes it as "partial 16S ribosomal RNA". It matches the Rfam family "Bacterial small subunit ribosomal RNA", at positions 27 to 507 of the family's 1533-position model. The record is from RNAcentral.
GAACGAACGCUGGCGGCAUGCCUAACACAUGCAAGUCGAACGAGACCUUCGGGUCUAGUGGCGCACGGGUGCGUAACGCGUGGGAACCUGCCCUUAGGUUCGGAAUAACUCCCCGAAAGGGGUGCUAAUACCGGAUAAUGUCUUCGGACCAAAGAUUUAUCGCCUUUGGAUGGGCCCGCGUUGGAUUAGCUAGUUGGUAGGGUAAAAGCCUACCAAGGCGACGAUCCAUAGCUGGUCUGAGAGGAUGAUCAGCCACACUGGGACUGAGACACGGCCCAGACUCCUACGGGAGGCAGCAGUGGGGAAUAUUGGACAAUGGGCGAAAGCCUGAUCCAGCAAUGCCGCGUGAGUGAUGAAGGCCUUAGGGUUGUAAAGCUCUUUUACCCGGGAUGAUAAUGACAGUACCGGGAUAAUAAGCUCCGGCUAACUCCGUG